AUAGCCCGGCCUUACUCCUUUUAAAAAUCCGCAAGGGUGGAGCCUAACCCUAAUCUGCAACAGUGAACUGACAGUUGCAUACCCUGUCUAGUAUACAGUAAGAACCUAUUUCCUUAUGAUGAAUUCGGAUGUAACGUGCCGCUGGAAACAAAAAAUGAAAGGAACAUAGUCCUAAAUCAGAGAGAAAGAACAAUGAGGACAGAGAUCAAAGUUGCUGCCUCCAGAGAGCAAAUGAUAGCAGCCUCUAAAAUGUGGAACGAAUAAGCAGAUUCUUCACCGGAGCUUUCAGAUGGAACCAGUCCUACUAGCACUUUGGAUUUAGAAUUUAAGUUAUUCUCGAAAAAGUAUGGAAGAAGAAGUUAUAUUGCAGGAUACUCCAGAACCAUUGCUGGGACCUGGAGGGGCUGGAAGCUGUUGCUAGAGAAGUCUGGAAACUUGCUGAGAAGUCUGGAAACUGCUGCUGACCCAUUGUCCUUGCUUCAGGCCAGGUGGCAGGGCAGCUUCUGAGGCCUGGACUUGCCUGGAUUUGCCCAGUUCUUGGAAACAGAGAUUUAGGCCUCAUCCCCUGAACUGCCAAUCUGAAGCUUGUCAUGGAAUCAGCCUAGCCUUCCCAUUAAUUUAAUGACAAUUCAUUUCAUUUUGAUCCUUGUUCUAGGAUAACAACAUAUUAAGGGAUAAUCCUUCUGGUCAAAAAAUUAAAAUACCUGG
Molecule: long non-coding RNA, 708 nt
Organism: Mus caroli (Ryukyu mouse)
Lineage: Eukaryota; Metazoa; Chordata; Mammalia; Rodentia; Muridae
Source: RefSeq, a predicted model, not a curated record